ACUCAAUAGAUACCCGGGUAGUCCACGCCCUAAACGAUGUCUACUAGUUGUUGGUGGAGUAAAAUCCAUGAGUAAACGCAGCUAAACGCGUGAAGUAGACCGCCUGGGGAGUACGGUCGCAAGAUUAAAAACUCAAAGGAAUUGACGGGGGCCCGCACAAGCGGUGGAUUAUGUGGAUUAAAUUCGAUGCAACGCGAAAAACCUUAACCUGGCCUUGACAUGCCACUAACGAAGCAGAGAUGCAUUAGGUGCCCGUAAGGGAAAGUGGACACAGGUGCUGCAUGGCUGUCGUCAGCUCGUGUCGUGAGAUGUUGGGUUAAGUCCCGCAACGAGCGCAACCCUUGCCAUUAAUUGCCAUCAUUUAGUUGGGCACUUUAAUGGGACUGCCGGUGACAAACCGGAGGAAGGUGGGGAUGACGUCAAGUCCUCAUGGCCCUUAU
Molecule: ribosomal RNA, 440 nt
Filed under: uncultured bacterium
Lineage: Bacteria
Description: bacterial SSU rRNA
Rfam family: Bacterial small subunit ribosomal RNA
Source: RNAcentral